GCUCGUGUAGCUCAGUGGUUAGAGCUUCGUGCUUAUAGUUGCAGUCGGUUUAACCGAAGCAUUCUGUACUCUAGUCUGCUAAAUACAGACAGUGAAAAAGCAACGCGACCGUCGUGGGUUCAAACCCCACCUCGAGCA
This is a transfer RNA of Vanderwaltozyma polyspora DSM 70294, 138 nucleotides long. It matches the Rfam family "tRNA". From Rfam's summary of the family: Transfer RNA (tRNA) molecules are approximately 80 nucleotides in length. NCBI's taxonomy places the organism in Eukaryota, Fungi, Ascomycota, Saccharomycetes, Saccharomycetales, Saccharomycetaceae. The record is from Rfam.